This 493-nucleotide ribosomal RNA is filed under the name uncultured bacterium. Its description in RNAcentral is "bacterial SSU rRNA". It matches the Rfam family "Bacterial small subunit ribosomal RNA", at positions 28 to 507 of the family's 1533-position model. The record is from RNAcentral.
GAUGAACGCUAGCUACAGGCUUAACACAUGCAAGUCGAGGGGAAACGAUAGAGAAAGCUUGCUUUUUCUAGGCGUCGACCGGCGCACGGGUGAGUAACGCGUAUCCAACCUGCCCACCACUUGGGGAUAACCUUGCGAAAGUAAGACUAAUACCCAAUGACGUCUCUAGAAGACAUCUGAAAGGGAUUAAAGAUUUAUCGGUGAUGGAUGGGGAUGCGUCUGAUUAGCUUGUUGGCGGGGUAACGGCCCACCAAGGCUACGAUCAGUAGGGGUUCUGAGAGGAAGGUCCCCCCACAUUGGAACUGAGACACGGUCCAAAACUCCUACGGGAGGCAGCAGUGAGGAAUAUUGGUCAAUGGACGAGAGUCUGAACCAGCCAAGUAGCGUGCAGGAAGACGGCCCUAUGGGUUGUAAACUGCUUUAUAAGGGAAUAAAGUGAGUCUCGUGAGACUUUUUGCAUGUACCUUAUGAAUAAGGACCGGCUAAUUCCGUG